RNAcentral lists this ribosomal RNA (419 nucleotides) under uncultured bacterium. Its description in RNAcentral is "bacterial SSU rRNA". It matches the Rfam family "Bacterial small subunit ribosomal RNA", at positions 358 to 774 of the family's 1533-position model. The record is from RNAcentral.
GGAAUAUUGGUCAAUGGACGGAAGUCUGAACCAGCCAUGCCGCGUGAAGGAUGACGGCCCUAUGGGUUGUAAACUUCUUUUGUGACAGAGCAAUAAGGUGUACGUGUACACCGAUGAGAGUAUGCCACGAAUAAGCAUCGGCUAACUCCGUGCCAGCAGCCGCGGUAAUACGGAGGAUGCAAGCGUUAUCCGGAUUUAUUGGGUUUAAAGGGUGCGUAGGCUGUGUAUCAAGUCAGUGGUGAAAGACCGGGGCCCAACCUCGGAAGUGCCAUUGAUACUGAUAUGCUGGAGUACCCCUGCCGUGGGAGGAAUGAGUGGUGUAGCGGUGAAAUGCAUAGAUAUCACUCAGAACACCGAUUGCGAAGGCAUCUCACGAAAGGGCAACUGACGCUGAGGCACGAAAGCGUGGGGAUCAAACA